Molecule: unclassified non-coding RNA, 432 nt
Filed under: soil metagenome
Description: partial contains 5.8S ribosomal RNA, internal transcribed spacer 2, and large subunit ribosomal RNA
Rfam family: 5.8S ribosomal RNA (bases 1-120)
Source: RNAcentral
GAUGAAGAACGCAGCGAAAUGCGAUACGUAAUGUGAAUUGCAGAAUUCAGUGAAUCAUCGAAUCUUUGAACGCAUAUUGCGCUCUCUGGUAUUCCGGAGAGCAUGCUUGUUUGAGUAUCAGUAAACACCUCAACUCCCUUUUCUUUUUUGAAAUGGGAGCUGGACUUGAGUGAUCCCACACUUUUCUCACUGGAAAGUGGCGGGUCACUUGAAAUGCAGGUGCAGCUGGACUUUUCUCUGAGCUAUAAGCAUAUCUAUUUAGUCUGCCUAAAAAACAGAUUAUUACCUUUGCUGCAGCUAACAUAAAGGAGAUGAGUUCUUGUGCUGACUGAUGCAGGAUUCACAGAGACAGCUUUGCGGCUGACUUUGUAAACUCGAUCUCAAAUCAAGUAAGACUACCCGCUGAACUUAAGCAUAUCAAUAAGCGGAGGA